AGCUAUAUAAUUUAAAAUAAAAUAUUAAUUUUGUAAAUUAAAAAUAAAAAAUUUUUAUAGCUA
Molecule: transfer RNA, 63 nt
Filed under: Proterops sp. QL-2014
Lineage: Eukaryota; Metazoa; Arthropoda; Insecta; Hymenoptera; Braconidae
Description: tRNA-Thr
Source: RNAcentral